AGUGAACGCUGGCGGUAGGCCUAACACAUGCAAGUCGAACGGCAGCACAGUAAGAGCUUGCUCUUACGGGUGGCGAGUGGCGGACGGGUGAGGAAUACAUCGGAAUCUACUUUUUCGUGGGGGAUCACGUAGGGAAACUUACGCUCAUACCGCAUACGACCUACGGGUGAAAGCAGGGGAUCUUCGGACCUUGCGCGAUUGAAUGAGCCGAUGUCGGAUUAGCUAGUUGGCGGGGUAAAGGCCCACCAAGGCGACGAUCCGUAGCUGGUCUGAGAGGAUGAUCGGCCACACUGGAACUGAGACACGGUCCAGACUCCUACGGGAGGCAGCAGUGGGGAAUAUUGGACAAUGGGCGCAAGCCUGAUCCAGCCAUACCGCGUGGGUGAAGAAGGCCUUCGGGUUGUAAAGCCCUUUUGUUGGGAAAGAAAAGCAGCAGGUUAAUACCCCGCUGUUCUGACGGUACCCAAAGAAGAAGCACCGGCUAACUUCGUG
Molecule: ribosomal RNA, 492 nt
Filed under: uncultured bacterium
Lineage: Bacteria
Description: partial 16S ribosomal RNA
Rfam family: Bacterial small subunit ribosomal RNA
Source: RNAcentral